RNAcentral lists this non-coding RNA (27 nucleotides) under Gallus gallus (chicken). RNAcentral also lists the same sequence under 3 other names. Lineage: Eukaryota; Metazoa; Chordata; Aves; Galliformes; Phasianidae. The record is from RNAcentral.
GUGUAAUGGUUAGCACUCUGGACUCUG